UGUGGAUGUAGCUCAGUGGUAGAGCUUUUGCCUAAUGUGCAUGAGACCCCGUGUUUAAUUCCAGCACCACAA
This 72-nucleotide transfer RNA is filed under the name Marmota monax (woodchuck). Its description in RNAcentral is "tRNA.Ile". The record is from RNAcentral. Lineage: Eukaryota; Metazoa; Chordata; Mammalia; Rodentia; Sciuridae.